AGCGGCCGAUAUCAGAUUAGCUAGUUGGUGAGGUAAAGGCUCACCAAGGCGACGAUCUGUAGCGGGUCUGAGAGGAUGAUCCGCCACACUGGAACUGAGACACGGUCAGACUCCUACGGGAGGCAGCAGUGGGGAAUUUUGGACAAUGGGGGCAACCCUGAUCCAGCCAUGCCGCGUGAGUGAAGAAGGCCUUCGGGUUGUAAAGCUCUUUCGGCCGGGAAGAAAUCGUAUGGGUUAAUACCCUGUGCGGAUGACGGUACCGGCAUAAGAAGCACCGGCUAACUACGUGCCAGCAGCCGCGGUAAUACGUAGGGUGCGAGCGUUAAUCGGAAUUACUGGGCGUAAAGCGUGCGCAGGCGGUUUUGUAAGACAGGCGUGAAAUCCCCGGGCUCAACCUGGGAACUGCGCUUGUGACUGCAAGGCUAGAGUAUGGCAAAGGGGGGUGGAAUUCCACGUGUAGCAGUGAAAUGCGUAGAGAUGUGGAGGAACACCAAUGGCGAAGGCAGCCCCCUGGGCCAAUACUGACGCUCGUGCACGAAAGCGUGGGUAGCAAACAGGAUUAGAUACCCUGGUAGUCCACGCCCUAAACGAUGUCAACUAGGUGUUGGGUGGGUAAAACCAUUUAGUACAGGAGCUAACGCGUGAAGUUGACCGCCUGGGGAGUACGGCCGCAAGGUUAAAACUCAAAGGAAUUGACGGGGACCCGCACAAGCGGUGGAUGAUGUGGAUUAAUUCGAUGCAACGCGAAAAACCUUACCUACCCUUGACAUGUCCAGGAGCCUGAAGAGAUUUGGGUGUGCCCGAAAGGGAACUGGAACACAGGUCUGCAUGGCUGUCGUCAGCUCGUGUCGUGAGAUGUUGGGUUAAGUCCCGCAACGAGCGCAACCCUUGUCGUUAAUUGCCAUCAUUUAGUUGGGCACUUUAACGAGACUGCCGGUGACAAACCGGAGGAAGGUGGGGAUGACGUCAAGUCCUCAUGGCCCUUAUGGGUAGGGCUUCACACGUCAUACAAUGGUCGGUACAAAGGGUUGCCAACCCGCGAGGGGGAGCCAAUCCCAGAAAGCCGAUCGUAGUCCGGAUUGCAGGCUGCAACUCGCCUGCAUGAAGUCGGAAUCGCUAGUAAUCGUGGAUCAGCAUGUCACGGUGAAUACGUUCCCGGGUCUUGUACACACCGCCCGUCACACCAUGGGAGCGGGUUCCGCCAGAAGUAGGUAGCCUAACCGCAAGGGGGGCGCUUACCACGGCGGGGUUCGUGACUGGGGUGAAGUCGUAACAAGGUA
RNAcentral lists this ribosomal RNA (1280 nucleotides) under metagenome. RNAcentral describes it as "bacterial SSU rRNA". It matches the Rfam family "Bacterial small subunit ribosomal RNA", at positions 225 to 1498 of the family's 1533-position model. The record is from RNAcentral.